RNAcentral lists this ribosomal RNA (589 nucleotides) under uncultured bacterium. RNAcentral describes it as "partial 16S ribosomal RNA". It matches the Rfam family "Bacterial small subunit ribosomal RNA", at positions 355 to 1375 of the family's 1533-position model. The record is from RNAcentral.
UGGGGAAUUUUGGACAAUGGGCGAAAGCCUGAUCCAGCAAUGCCGCGUGUGUGAAGAAGGCCUUCGGGUUGUAAAGCACUUUUGUCCGGAAAGAAAUCCUUGGCUCUAAUACAGUCGGGGGAUGACGGUACCGGAAGAAUAAGCACCGGCUAACUACGUGCCAGCAGCCGCGGUAAUACGUAGGGUGCAAGCGUUAAUCGGAAUUACUGGGCGUAAAGCGUGCGCAGGCGGUUUGCUAAGACCGAUGUGAAAUCCCCGGGCUCAACCUGGGAACUGCAUUGGUGACUGGCAGGCUAGAGUAUGGCAGAGGGGGGUAGAAUUCCACGUGUAGCAGUGAAAUGCGUAGAGAUGUGGAGGAAUACCGAUGGCGAAAGGCAGCCCCCUGGGCCAAUACUGACGCUCAUGCACGAAAAGCGUGGGGAGCAAAACAGGAUUAGAUACCCUGGUAGUCCACGCCCUAAAACGAUGUCAACUAGUUGUUGGGGAUUCAUUUCCUUGGUAACGUAGCUAACGCGUGAAGUUGACCGCCUGGGGAGUACGGUCGCAAGAUUAAAACUCAAAUGAAUUGACGGGGUCAUAGCUGUUUCCU